AGGAUAAACGCUGGCGGCGUGCCUAACACAUGCAAGUCGAACGUCCUACGCAAGUAGGGAGUGGCGGACGGGUGAGUAACACGUGGGCAAUCUACCUUUCGGUGAGGAAUACCGGCGAGAAAUCGCCGACAAUACCGCAUACGCUUCGCAAGAAGCAAAGUCGCAAGACGCCGGAGGAGGAGCCUGCGCCCGAUUAGCUGGUUGGUGGAGUAAUGGUCUACCAAGGCGACGAUCGGUAGCUGGUCUGAGAGGAUGAUCAGCCACACUGGGAUUGAGAACGGCCCAGACUCCUACGGGGGCAGCAGUGAGGAAUUUUCGUCAAUGGGGGAAACCCUGAACGAGCAACGCCGCGUGCAGGAAGACACUUUUCGGAGCGUAAACUGCUUUUCUCGGGGACGAGUAAGGACGGUACCCGAGGAAUCACGCCCGGCUAACUACGUGCCAGCAGCCGC
This 452-nucleotide ribosomal RNA is filed under the name uncultured bacterium. Its description in RNAcentral is "SSU rRNA". It matches the Rfam family "Bacterial small subunit ribosomal RNA", at positions 26 to 518 of the family's 1533-position model. The record is from RNAcentral.